Molecule: ribosomal RNA, 497 nt
Filed under: uncultured bacterium
Lineage: Bacteria
Description: partial 16S ribosomal RNA
Rfam family: Bacterial small subunit ribosomal RNA
Source: RNAcentral
GAUGAACGCUGGCGGCGUGCCUAAUACAUGCAAGUCGAGCGAACAGACGAGGAGCUUGCUCCUCUGACGUUAGCGGCGGACGGGUGAGUAACACGUGGAUAACCUACCUAUAAGACUGGGAUAACUUCGGGAAACCGGAGCUAAUACCGGAUAAUAUAUUGAACCGCAUGGUUCAAUAGUGAAAGACGGUUUUGCUGUCACUUAUAGAUGGUUCCGCGCCGCAUUAGCUAGUUGGUAAGGUAACGGCUUACCAAGGCAACGAUGCGUAGCCGACCGGAGAGGGUGAUCGGCCACACUGGAGCUGAACCACGGUCCAGACUCCUACGGGAGGCAGCAGUAGGGAAUCUUCCGCAAAGGGCGGAAGCCUGACGGAGCAACGCCGCGUGAGUGAUGAAGGUCUUCGGAUCGUAAAACUCUGUUAUUAGGGAAGAACAAAUGUGUAAGUAACUAUGCACGUCUUGACGGUACCUAAUCAGAAAGCCACGGCUAACUACGUG